This 253-nucleotide ribosomal RNA is filed under the name uncultured bacterium. Its description in RNAcentral is "partial 16S ribosomal RNA". It matches the Rfam family "Bacterial small subunit ribosomal RNA", at positions 524 to 776 of the family's 1533-position model. The record is from RNAcentral. RNAcentral also lists the same sequence under 1 other name.
GACGUAGGGCGCGAGCGUUGUCCGGAUUUAUUGGGCGUAAAGAGCUCGUAGGCGGCUCAUUGCGUCAACCGUGAAAACCAGCAGCUCAACUGUUGGCUUGCGGUUGAUACGGGUGGGCUGGAGUUCGGUAGGGGAGACUGGAAUUCCUGGUGUAGCGGUGAAAUGCGCAGAUAUCAGGAGGAACACCGGUGGCGAAGGCGGGUCUCUGGGCCGAUACUGACGCUGAGGAGCGAAAGCGUGGGGAGCGAACAGG